CUUAACCUAGACUAUCUCACUUUUCAAUUAAUUCUUCAACAACCAUAAUAUUUUUGGAAAUAUGUUGCAAGGCUUGUAAUAAUACAGUAGUUCACAUGGUUAGUAAGAUUAAAAAAUAAGCUUAGGUAAUUCUGUAUGAAUUUACUUUAUUGGCUUGUGUCUAUCUUGCCACUUUGCUACCUGUGUAACUGCUUUGGUAUUGCUAUUGUGUUGUCAUAUUAUUCUUGCAAUUAUGUUUAGAUAAUUGUUCUUUUGAGCCGACGAUCUAUCGGAAACAACCUCUCAACCUCAAAGGUGGGUUAAGGUAUGCAUAUAUCCUACCCUCCCUAGACCCCAUUUGUCUGGUUACACAGGAUAUGUUGUUCGUCUGUUAUGUGAAGAACAUGUCGUUAUCAAUGAAUCAUCCAACAUGAAUAGAUUCAAGACAAGGAUAGAAUACUUCAACUGACCACUAGCUCAACUUUUAUGAUACUAAUGCAACUUUGCCUCUUUUGCAGGGAUAAAAACCUGCAUUUAAGAAAAUUUUCCUGUGAAUGAAUUGCCUUAUGAAGUUAACCUGGACAAUCAUGGCUGUUUUGGGGGUCCCAAAGCUGGUAGACUCAGAGCUGCAUCUAGCGAACCUAAGUUUUUUGAUGGUUUGAAGUUCCAUCUGAGUGGAGAUUAUCUCCCAGCUUACAAAACUGACCUGUUAGAUCUCGUUGAAAAGGCUGGAGGUUCAAUAUUUCACACCAACGAACAGUUGAUUUCCCUGGCCGAUGCUAUGCAGGCAACUAGCUCAGCUUGUUUAGUUGUUUAUAACAGCGAUCCUCCACGUGGUUGUGCAUUCGGGGAAGCAAGCAACAUUUUGCUGUAACGACAAGAAAAGGCCGAGAAACUAGCCAAGCCAAUCGUUUGUCAGGCCAUUCAGCAUACAUGGAUUCUGGAGUCUUAGGCUAAAUGUAAAAUGGCGCCUUUCAGCUGAUAAUAAAACAGAUACCCUGAUAACUCUACUCAUUUGAUAGAUGAGAGCAAAGGGUCUUGUUUGUCUAUACCUAUUUACACAUAACACUUUCUGCAUCAUAGCAAUAUAGAGAAUCUUGUACUUCCUAAAGUUUUCCACAACCAAAAGUAACAGUUGAAGUGAGACAACGACAUAGAUAUAUUUACCCAAAUCCAGCACUUAGUUAUCAUUUUUCUUGUAUAUGUGCAUCACAGACUAUGAUUUAGUUGAAAAGCAGAAGAUUAUAUGAGAAAAUUGGUAGCUCCCAAGCUUGUUGUAAGGUAUAUGCCAUAUGGUCCCAAGGCAAAAAUAUAUGUACCGAUUAAAGCAAUGAGACACUUUAGCUUGUUUUA
Capsicum annuum is the source of this 1332-nucleotide long non-coding RNA. RefSeq lists it as uncharacterized. The transcript has 2 exons. NCBI's taxonomy places the organism in Eukaryota, Viridiplantae, Streptophyta, Magnoliopsida, Solanales, Solanaceae. The record is from RefSeq and is a predicted model, not a curated record.